This 277-nucleotide unclassified non-coding RNA is filed under the name Frankliniella occidentalis (western flower thrips). RNAcentral describes it as "partial contains large subunit ribosomal RNA (rrnL); may also contain tRNA-Leu (trnL)". The stretch from base 1 to 157 matches the Rfam family "Bacterial large subunit ribosomal RNA", at positions 2488 to 2645 of the family's 2925-position model. Lineage: Eukaryota; Metazoa; Arthropoda; Insecta; Thysanoptera; Thripidae. The record is from RNAcentral.
AUUUUUUAGAGAUCAAAUCAAAAAGAUUAAAUGCUACCUCGAUGUUGAAUUAAGAAAACAUCUAAUAGAAGAAAAUUAGAUUAUAGGUCUGUUCGACCUUUAAAUUCUUACAUGAUUUGAGUUAAGACCGGUGUGAGCCAGGUUGGUUUCUAUCUUCAUAAUAGAAGUUUUUAUAGUACGAAAGGACCUAAAAACUUAAUUUUAUUAAUUAAUUAGCUUAUGAAAAGCAAGUAUUUUGAAAAUACUAGAAAGAUUUAAAGAUUUAUUAAUUUUAUGU